Homarus americanus (American lobster) is the source of this 521-nucleotide long non-coding RNA. RefSeq lists it as uncharacterized. The record is from RefSeq and is a predicted model, not a curated record. Lineage: Eukaryota; Metazoa; Arthropoda; Malacostraca; Decapoda; Nephropidae. The transcript is spliced from 2 exons.
UUAAACACAGUCGAACCCUCACACGCACCUGCACCACAUUCCAGACCACACAUUACUGCUGCCUUCUGCAUCCAAGAAAACAUACCUUCCCAUUUACUAUCUUUUAAUGUGAAGACGAGUAGUGUAAGGAGCUGGUGACAAUGGCCUCAACUGCUGUGUUGAUGUUGGUGGUAGUUCUUUCUCUCAUCCCUGCCUCUACUGCCAUCAUGGUUGAUGAAGGCACCUACACUUCGCAAUACAGCGUGCUGGUGGCGCCUGUGUUGUUGUUUAUACUGGUGGUGUACCUAGAGAGUCAGAGGAGGCAAGCAGACUUCAGUGACCCCACCAAGAUCACCGUAUAUGAAGUACAAUAAGAGAUUAUGCAAAAUAAAAAAAUAAAAAAGUGGGAAUAUUUUGGACAGAGGUUAACAAUGGAACCCACAAAUUCAUUCAUUUCCUUGUCAUUUAAUACCGUGAAGUGUUCAUCUCAACUACGCGUCCACUGAAUUUUAACCUGAAAAUGCUAUAAAAUAUAUUUGAAA